This 3318-nucleotide long non-coding RNA is filed under the name Haliotis rufescens (red abalone). Its description in RNAcentral is "uncharacterized LOC124116714, transcript variant X1". The record is from RNAcentral. Lineage: Eukaryota; Metazoa; Mollusca; Gastropoda; Lepetellida; Haliotidae.
GCGCGAAGUUAAAUGCUCCAGAAGUUGAAAUUUUAAGCGCUUGCCCAGUCUUUGAUGUACACUACUGUCAGUUGAAAGAGGAAGAAUGGAAGAACUGCAAUUUGAUGUGCAUUAUCACUCAGGAAUUCAGUAUAUGACAAUUGAGGUGCAGAUAACCCUGCACACUGUGCCUAGCACUAAUGCACAUACUGGCACAAACAGAACUCGUGACAAGGUCCAGAAACAAGCCAAGGUCAGUAGCUGUGACCAUAUGACAGGGGUGAUGAAAGCUCUGCAAGAGCCACUUAACAUGCCAGGUGUAUCUCAGGAUGAUUGGGAUAUAAAGACCUACUUCCUUAAUGACUCCAUUGAAGACACGGUCCCAGUGUUAUGUGGGUCACCUGAGAAUGACAUGCAGUGUCAGGAUGGUGGGAAGAACAAGGUAAAUGUGGUACCGAAGGUGAAGGAAACACUAAUUCUUCUACCAGGAAAUGUGGACAGAUGCCCGGAUUUAAGCCUCCAGUUUGAAUGUCUUCUGAAGAAGAGGAGUCAAGGAUUGUGACUGUACUGCCAGUGUUGUAACUGUGUUGUAUCAGUUUUAGGGUCAGGUUGUUCUACAAUGGCAACACUGUACUCGGUGUCUUCAGAAGGAAUGUAGACAUCGACUAUCCUGUAUUGAAGCUAUUGUCUAGUUUUUCAUGUUACGAAAUUGUAACUUUAUGCUAAAUGACUGUCUUGUAGAUUGUUUCAACAUAACUCAACACUCUCAUCCACCACACACACCAACUACCCUUAACCCCCAACCCCCUAACCCCCCAACCCAAGACAGAGUUGUGGGUGACCGUGAACAAGCUGAUUUUGUGUGCACCGUAGUUCAUAUUAGGCAGAAAAAAAUAAAAAUUUAAAAUACAUGUGUUUCAGGUCACCCUACUGACCCAUUGUUUCACUUGCGACACAAAUGUUUUUAUCAUGGUGGAAACAGUGGUCAAGAAACCCUUAUUAAUCAUUUGGUUAAAAAUCAGAUUUAUUUUUGCUACGGCUAUUUUUACCUACAAGUUUUAGAUACUUUGCAUCUAACAUGCAUUCUCUGCAAGCCAUCCAUGUUCAACAUCAUUAAAACGAUAUAAAAAAAGUAGAACCUUACCUACUCCCGCAUACCUGUUUGGUCCAUGUAACCUGAAACACAAGUACCGUAUUCGACGUAAUAAGCGCCCAUGGCGAUAUUUGCUAAUAUAUUGGCUAGUGAACAAUCCCAAUUAGCACCCCUUCCGAUUGAUCAAUGUACACAAGACCGAUUUAUUCAUGUAUAAUACGUACUCGUGGGUAGUAUGCACCCUUACUUAUGGGCAAUUAAAUUCUGAAAAAAUAUAUCUGUUGUAUAUAAACAUUUCAGGCUGUCAGCAUAAACCACAAAAUUUAUCUUUCAACUCUGUUUUUUUUCUUCUCCAAAAUAAUAUUCUAAUAAGAGCCCCCUAUUUUUAAUUUUGAGAGCGCCCUGGGUGCUUAUUACAUCGAAUACGGUACUUUUUAUUUGGCCUUACAUGUGUCUCUGUAAAUAGCUCCUGGCACAUGGUGUUAUGUACAAAAUCCUCCUUAUUUAACCUUCUCUGUAUUUCAUAUGCCCUGACUCGAGUCCAGUGUGACAGGGAGUUCAAGAGAAACAGCAGGAAGUUUGAGGGCAAUAUAUCUGAUCUUGUAAAUGUAGUAUAAUGUGCCAAAGAUGUUAUUAUGUAAACAUUAUCCCCAUUAAGCCCCUCUCCCUAUCAUGUGCCAGAAGAGUUCAGUGGAGGGAAAGGUCUGGGCUCAUUGCUGACCAUGGCAUUCUGUGGCUAUUGUGCUACUGGAGGUGAGCGUUGAUGAUUUGUGCACAUGUUUUGUCAUCUGGAAAGACGAAAUGUCGACCAAAACAUCUUGCAAAUGGGACAACAGUGGUUGUCAGUAUGUUGUCCCGAUAGUACUGUCCAGUGGCCCUUCCUUGCACAAUAUGGAGUGGGGUUUGGUCAGUCACAGUGAAGCCACCCCACACCAUAACCAGUCCACCGCCAAAUCUGUUAUGACAUCUCAAGUUGACAUUGGCUUGAAGUUCAUUUCGACGUCGCCAGACACCACCAUGCCUAUGAAGGAAGUCCCAAGUGAAUCGGAACCCAUCUGAAAAAAAAUGACAAGUUACCAGCAAUGAUUACCCCAGUUUCGAUGCUGUGCACACCAUUGGCGUAUGUUGGCAGUGUGAUGAUUUGUAAGGGUCAGCACAGCACAUGGCCAUCGAGCAUGGAGAUUAGCUGCAUGUGGACGAAUUCAAAUCGUCUGACCAAUAACUUGCACACCAGGAGGCUGAUGAAAGUUGCAUUUGCUGUUUGAGCUCGAUUUCAUAGAGCCUGGUGUCAGAUCGAUCCUGUACUCUUGUCGUCGACCUGGGACGACCCUGGACGGGAUCGAUCGUCAAUGUUUUGGGCUUGUUGGUACCUGUUCUGUAGUCUGCUAAUGACAGACUAUUGCAUUGACAUUUAUAUUUCAAAUGAUCCAGCUAAAGGACAGCCUACUCCAACGUCCGUGCUUUGUCGCCUGCAUAUUUAAGUGUUUUGCUAAUUGCUACAUAUACUCAGGGAAAAAAUCUUGAAACUUGAACGCAUUGGUCCCACCCAACUGUUGUAAUGAAUAUUGUGUUGUACAUGUAUUAAUAAGAAUGAUGUGACUCCAAUCACCUGAGACCAGGGUUAGUGUGUGACAGGGAACUCAGAGGCACUGCUGGAGGGCUUUAGGUUUGUUUCUGUUAAUGUAUAUUAUGUUGUACAUGUAUUAAUAAGAAUGAUGUGACUCCAAUCACCUGAGACCAGGGUUAGUGUAUGACAGGGAACUCAGAGGCACUGCUGGAGGGCUUGACGUUUGUUUCUGUUAAUGUAUAUUAUGUUGUACAUGUAUUAAUAAGAAUGAUGUGACUCCAAUCACCUGAGACCAGGGUUAGUGUGUGACAGGGAACUCAGAGGCACUGCUGGAGGGCUUGACGUUUGUUUCUGUUAAUGUAUAUUAUGUUGUACAUGUAUUAAUAAGAAUGAUGUGACUCCAAUCACCUGAGACCAGGGUUAGUGUGUGACAGGGAACUCAGAGGCACUGCUGGAGGGCUUAGGUUUGUUUCUGUUAAUGUAUAUUAUGUUGUACAUGUAUUAAUAAGAAUGAUGUGACUCCAAUCACCCGAGACCAGGGUUAGUGUGUGACAGGGAACUCAGAGGCACUGCUGGAGGGCUUUAGGUUUGUUUCUGUUAUUAUGUACAUUGUAGACAACACUGGUAGAGAAUAUGCCAGCUUGUUAAUCCUGUCUCAUUAAAAUUAUCUUCCAACAUU